Molecule: long non-coding RNA, 533 nt
Organism: Stegostoma tigrinum
Lineage: Eukaryota; Metazoa; Chordata; Chondrichthyes; Orectolobiformes; Stegostomatidae
Exons: 4
Source: RefSeq, a predicted model, not a curated record
UGCAACCAGGCAGUGUACUAAGCCUUCCUGCAUUUCCCAGCAGAUAAAUCCUCUGUCUCUUCUGAACAAGAAUGAGACAGCCAGCGGUAACAGAAAAAAAACGGAAAAGGAAUAGGGUCUUGAUGUGCUAGUCUAGUGUUCCAGUUCUGUUGGGCUAGAGUUUCCAGCAGAGGUCACAGCUGAGAACUCUCCGUCUCUCUUGCUGAUUGCUGGAAGCAAAUCACAAGUCCGCAAAGUCACCAUUGAAGGGGAGAUAGGAUAACUCCAUUCAGCUGACGGGCAGCAAAAAAUUCUCCAGACCAACUGCUGAGGCUUCUCUACUGCAGCCAUUCCUUUCCUGGAGAGUGUACGAGUGAUAAAGCAGAACACAGCUACCAGCAUUCAGCGGCCAGGCAUGAACAUGAAGAGCCAAUAUCUAGCUGUGGAGUUCUUGAUGCUGGUAAAAGCCUACCACUGGCUACUUAAAUGUCACUUAAAUUACCUGCAGGCCUUCCCAAAUAGGCAGGCUCCCAGCCUCUAGGAAUACUGCCUAA